Molecule: ribosomal RNA, 496 nt
Filed under: uncultured bacterium
Lineage: Bacteria
Description: partial 16S ribosomal RNA
Rfam family: Bacterial small subunit ribosomal RNA
Source: RNAcentral
AUGAACGCUGGUGGCGUGCCUAAUACAUGCAAGUCGAGCGAACAGAUCAGGAGCUUGCUCCUUUGACGUUAGCGGCGGACGGGUGAGUAACACGUGGGUAACCUACCUAUAAGACUGGGAUAACUUCGGGAAACCGGAGCUAAUACCGGAUAACAUUUGGAACCGCAUGGUUCUAAAGUGAAAGAUGGUUUUGCUAUCACUUAUAGAUGGACCCGCGCCGUAUUAGCUAGUUGGUAAGGUAACGGCUUACCAAGGCGACGAUACGUAGCCGACCUGAGAGGGUGAUCGGCCACACUGGAACUGAGACACGGUCCAGACUCCUACGGGAGGCAGCAGUAGGGAAUCUUCCGCAAUGGGCGAAAGCCUGACGGAGCAACGCCGCGUGAGUGAUGAAGGGUUUCGGCUCGUAAAACUCUGUUAUUAGGGAAGAACAAAUGUGUAAGUAACUGUGCACGUCUUGACGGUACCUAAUCAGAAAGCCACGGCUAACUACGUG